This is a long non-coding RNA of Sphaerodactylus townsendi, 209 nucleotides long. RefSeq lists it as uncharacterized. NCBI's taxonomy places the organism in Eukaryota, Metazoa, Chordata, Lepidosauria, Squamata, Sphaerodactylidae. The record is from RefSeq and is a predicted model, not a curated record. The transcript is spliced from 3 exons.
GCCAGCGGGGCUCUGCGGCUGCCUGCCCGACAGAUGCCUACCUCCGGGAGGGGGGGAAGUGUUUUCCUUGCAAGAUCUGCGGAGGUGAGCAGGGUUACGAGAGGGAGUGCUCUGAAACAGCAAAUGCAGUUUGCAAAUGCAUUUGGUGUGAAGGGUGCAGGAUUGGAAAGCAGUGGACCGAGGAAGGUAAAGUAGACCCUUUUCAUUUU